AUUGAACGCUGGCGGCAUGCCUUACACGUGCAAGUCGAACGGUAACAGGUCUUCGGAUGCUGACGAGUGGCGAACGGGUGAGUAAUACAUCGGAACGUGCCCAGUAGUGGGGGAUAACUACUCGAAAGAGUGGCUAAUACAGCAUGAGAUCUACGGAUGAAAGCAGGGGAUCGCAAGACCUUGUGCUACUAGAGCGGCCGAUGGCAGAUUAGGUAGUUGGUGGGCUAAAAGCUUACCAAGCCGACGAUCUGUAGCUGGUCUGAGAGGACGAUCAGCCACGCUGCGACUGAGACACGGGCCAGACUCCUACGGGAGGCAGCAGUGGGGAAUUUUGGACAAUGGGCGAAAGCCUGAUCCAGCAAUGCCGCGUGCAGGAUGAAGGCCUUCGGGUUGUAAACUGCUUUUGUACGGAACGAAAAGCCCUGGGUUAAUACCCUGGGGUCAUGACGGUACCGUAAGAAUAAGCACCGGCUAACUACGUGCCAGCCGCCGCCGUAA
Molecule: ribosomal RNA, 498 nt
Filed under: uncultured bacterium
Lineage: Bacteria
Description: partial 16S ribosomal RNA
Rfam family: Bacterial small subunit ribosomal RNA
Source: RNAcentral